GACGAACGCUGGCGGCGUGCCUAACACAUGCAAGUCGAACGAAGUAUAUUUUUCGGAAUGUACUUACGUGGCGGACGGGUGAGUAACGCGUGAACCAUCUGCCCUAUACAAGGAAUAGCCUCGGGAAACUGGGAUUAAAACCGUAUAACUCUUUUUGAUCGCGUGAUUAUAAAUUCAAAUUGAUUAAGAUGUAUAAGAUGAGUUCGCGUCUGAUUAUCUAUGUGGAGAGGUAAUGGCUCACCAAGGAGACUAUCAGUACCCGGCCUGAGAGGGUGAACGGCCACACUGGAACUGAGACACGGUCCAUACUCCUACGGGAGGCAGCAGUGGGGAAUAUUGCACAAUGGGCGAAAGCCUGAUGCAGCGACGCCGCGUGAGUGAAGAAGGUCUUCGGAUCGUAAAACUCUGUCCUUGGGGACGAAAAAAUGACGGUACCCGAGGAGGAAGCCCCGGCUAACUACCUGCCACCACCCGCGGUAAUACGUGGGGAGCGAGCGUUGUCCGGAUUUACUGGGCGUAAAGGGUGAGUAGGCGGUUAUUUGAGUCGUAUGUUAAACGAUAUGGCUCAGCUAUCUGAAUCAUUUGAAGCUGGAUGACUUGGGUGCAGGAGAGGUAGGUGGAAUUCCUAUUGUAGCGGUGAGAUGCGUAGAUAUUAAGAGGAACACCGGUGGCGAAGGCUACUUACUGGACUGCUACUGACGCUGAGUCACGAAAUCGUGAGUAGCAAACAUGAUUAGAUACGCUGGUACUCCACGCUGUCGACGAUGACUGCUAGGUGUUGGCUAGCGAUAGUCGUGCCGACGUAGACACAAUAAGCACUCCGCCUGGAGAGUAC
This 835-nucleotide ribosomal RNA is filed under the name uncultured bacterium. RNAcentral describes it as "bacterial SSU rRNA". It matches the Rfam family "Bacterial small subunit ribosomal RNA", at positions 28 to 883 of the family's 1533-position model. The record is from RNAcentral.